GAUCCUGGCUCAGGAUGAACGCUAGCUACAGGCUUAACACAUGCAAGUCGAGGGGCAGCGGGAUUGAAGCUUGCUUCAAUUGCCGGCGACCGGCGCACGGGUGAGUAACACGUAUCCAACCUUCCCGUUACUCCGGAAUAGCCUUUCGAAAGAAAGAUUAAUACCGGAUAGUAUCGAGAGAUUGCAUGAUUACCCGAUUAAAGAUUCAUCGGUAACGGAUGGGGAUGCGUUCCAUUAGGCAGUUGGCGGGG
This 251-nucleotide ribosomal RNA is filed under the name uncultured bacterium. Its description in RNAcentral is "partial 16S ribosomal RNA". It matches the Rfam family "Bacterial small subunit ribosomal RNA", at positions 15 to 257 of the family's 1533-position model. The record is from RNAcentral.